UGCUGGGAUACUGUGGUGAAAAUGACUCUGCUCCUUUCUCCCAGAGCUUACACUUUAAUGGAAAUAGACGGAAAUACGUCUUCUAAAUGGAUCUUGACCUUUACCUGUUAAUGUUAAAGGUGGAAUGGACUUACUUGUAAAAGAUUAAAAAGAUGUGUCCUCUUGUCCUUCAGGAAAAUACCAGAUUAUUUCCUGAAAGCUUUAGUCCCAGUUCCACAUCUUGAAGUUUCCUUCCACAAAUUUUAAUAUUAGAUCCCAACAUAUUGUCCUAAGAGCUUGUUUUGAUCAUCAAAACAAGUAGUUUAUAUCAGUUUUUUAAAGAAUUUGUCCCAUAGUUUGACCAUUUAGCCAGGAAUUAAAAUGUCUCCCUCUCCACCUCUCCAUGAAGAAUUGCUUGGAUUUCUAGGUCAUAAGGGAUGUAGAAUAAUCAGUAUCAGUAUACUCUCAUAUUGAAUUGUUUCAACUUCUUUUUCAGUGUUUAGAUCCUCACGUUUGUGAAGGAUCUCAUUGUAGGUAAAGAAGGUGGAGGUCACUCCUCCCCUGGUCCCCGCAGUGCCCGUGCUCACUCAUGUCCUUGCAUUUGGCUUAGAACAUUACAAUUAUGUUUACUUCCUGUCUCUCCAGGGGCUCCUUCCUUCAAGGACAGACACCAGGGUUUAGUCAUCCUCUGUACUUCCUGCACACACAGUCUUGAAUAAUGGCUCCCUGCCUUCUCAAGUCACUUGAAUAUCCCUAGUGCCUAACAAGGAACUGCUUGUGUCCCAGUGCUCAGGAAAUGUGAGAACUGAUCACCCACCACACGGCUGUGCCGGGGCUAUUUGGGGCUUUUGCUGUCAGGCAAGGAGAUGUUUUUACUUGGGCUUUCUGCCCUUGGGGAGUCUUCUCUUAAAUCAAGUCCAAAGUCCAAGGGGCAGGUGGCCAGAUGGUCCGAUGUGCUGCCCAGUAAGGCCGGGAGCCAAAGGAGCAGUACCCAGCCUCGCCCAGGACUGCCCUUCUCUCCGGGAGAAUUGUGACAAGGAAGCGAGGAGGUCAGAGCCCAGGCUGAGCCCACACCGGAGCUUCCCAGCUUCAUCCCUUUCCUCACUUCAGGGCUUUUGGCACACCUUGGAAAGCUAAGAGAUUUUUCCAAACCUAAAUGAGAGUACCUGUCACUUCAUUAGAUGGAUGAACAUCAAUCAGUGCCCUCCCUUUACCCAUCCGUAGACCAGAGGCGACCAGACACCAAGUGGAAGGAUGUAGCUGAGAACACAAGGAAUUUUUCUGUACAUAUUUCACAAAAGACAAGUCCGCUAGAUUAAGUCCGAUGAUUGUUCCAUUUGAAGAUGGAACAGGAAAUUAAAGUGCAUUAAAAUUUCCUUAUCUGUUUUAACAUGUUGAGUGGAAUAGCUUCAUAUUACCAUGAGUUUGUCUUGCUUUUAAUACAGACUUAUCUGUAUUGCUUCAGUGGUUUCCAGGUUGGAGCAAGGUUAUUGUGAUUUAAAUGAGCAGCUCGAAAAGCCUCUGCAGGCAGCUUUGGGGAUCUGUCUUAUGGGCAAAUCAUUUGAAACGCAUAAAACCUCAAGACAUGGUCUUCAGCAAAAAUUCCAUGACUUUAGUUAUGUUACCAUUGACUUUUCACAAAGAAAGAAUAUUUUCCUUGAAAAAUAAUUAGCUUGUCAUUUUUUUCCUUUGCAGCUUAAAGACAGUAGUGCUUUGCAUUAUGCAGAGUAAACUCUCCUUUCAAAAAAAAACGUAUUUUAGAGACCACAAGGAUAAGAUUCCAGUUUGUCCAAAAGCUUUAUAAAGAGGCUGAGUGUGAAGAACUACAGGUCUUCAGGCUCGAUCUUCUACAUUUUAUUACAGAGAUUCUCAAGUCUGGUUUUGUAACCCUCAGAUUGGAGCCAGUGAUUUCAAAGGGUUCCACAGUUCUCUCCGACAAGUGAUUUUAUUUCUUUAUAAAAAGCGAUAAGUGAUAUAUGCUACAUAGCAAUUUUAAUUUGGGGAAGAGGAGGACAUCACUGAAUAAAUAAUACAAUUUCACUAGGUAAAAAAGUUGGCUACAUGUGCCUUCUUACUUUACCAUAAACAAAUGGGUUUUACGAUUUGCCUUCUGAAGUCUGCAACCUCAGCAAAGAAAUCUACACAGUGGAUUGAUUUUUCUGGUCACUAUAGAAAGCAUAUAAACUUAAAACACUUUGUAACGACAUAUUUACCCUGCCAAGUGCCUAUAUUGCAAUAAAAUGUUUGUCCUU
Molecule: long non-coding RNA, 2231 nt
Organism: Phocoena sinus (vaquita)
Lineage: Eukaryota; Metazoa; Chordata; Mammalia; Artiodactyla; Phocoenidae
Source: Ensembl